ACCGGAAGUCAAUGAAGCGGGUCUUUCCUACGCUAAAAACCACUGAGUGGAGUAUUUAGUACACAGGAAGUCGGCCAGAGAAACAUUUCUCAUAUUUGAAGGCCGGAAAGAGGGACAUUUCUGACACCGGAAGUCAGUGAGAGGACUCUUUCCCACACAGGAAGUCAGCUAGAGAGCCGUCUCCCCUCUCUGGAGCCGAGAGAGGCCGGUUUCCCCCACCGUAGCAGGGCUGGGAGAAAGGGAUGGGGAGAGUCCCUCCUGCCACUGACCCAGGAUGGAUAAAAGUACCCCUUUCAUAGAAGGAAGAAAAUGGGAACAAAGGUGCUGCUGAUCAUCUGAGGUUGCCUGCAUGGCAGUGAAGAACAUGGACCUUUGGGCUCUCAGGGUAAAGAAGGAAAUGAGAAAUUGCAAGACAGAGUAUUUCUUAGGCAAUGGCUGAGAAUGGCAACUCACCACAUGCCUUUGAAUAAGACGUGAUUAUUAUUAACCCAUAUUCUAUCAAAGAAGAAACUGAGGCUCAGAGAGGCAACUUACUUGCCAAAGGUCACUCUGCUGGGUAGCCCACCUGGGAGGAAUUUUCCAGAGAUCACUGUCUGAUGACCCUGUCUUGGAAUUGGAGCCAUGCAAGUUACACUGACCACGUUUGGGUUGGGAUAUUGAGGAGGUUAUGGUUAAAAGCAUACGAUGGGAGAUCAUAUUGUACUUGCGAGUGAGACCCGGCUGGAGGAAUGUUUUAAUUCUUCGGAAAUACCAAGUGGUCUCUGGAUGGGUUUUCACUAUUUUUCCCAGGCUAGUCUCCAACUUCUGGGCUCAAGCGAUCCACCCGCCUUGGCCUCCUAAGUCCUAGGAUUAUAGGUAUGAGCCACUGCGCCUGGCCUUUUUGCCUUUUGAAAGUAUCUGUUGUUAACAAUAUUCAAUUGGGUUGAAUCUUGCUAGGGACCAAGGUGAAUUUGCAUAAAUUAGUCUAUGCCAAUUUGCAUACUAUCAGCAAAUUUGUAGUGUACAGAAUUUUGGAAAGGGACCUUUGGCCAUGUCUUGAGAUGUUUUUGGUUGCCGUGAUUGAGGAGGUGCUACCAGCGUCUGCUGGGCAGAGACCAGGGAUGCUGCUCCACAUCCCACAAUGCACAGGACAAUCUUCUCUACAGCAAUGAAUUAUCCAGUUCACAAUCUCAAUAGCACCAAUAUUGAGAAACCCUGUUGAAGAUGGAGACUAUCCACGGGGCAUUGAUCUUGGGGUCUCCCCCUUCCUGAAUACUUGAAGUCCCUCGGCAGACUCUUGGAUACCUCCAGCAAUGGGGAGCUCACCACCUGUUUUGAAGCCAGGCAGGUUUGGGCUCUUCUUGUAGCUGUGUGACUCUGGAUUUUCCCAUAGGUGGGAGUGGAUCCACCACCUUGAGCUUCAGUUUCCUCCAGUGCCAUGGGAUUAGCAGCAGCCCUGCCUCACAGAUUGCGUGAGGAUGAAAUGAGAUGAUGCUCCUGAGUUGGCUGGUGCAGUGCACGGUACACAGAGAGUGCUCAAUAAAUGUUCCCUGCUGUGAAUCAGAACACUGAAGAUUCUGCUCUCAGGGUGUUGAUUGACGUCUGGAAGGCAGAGACUCGUGGAUUAGCAAGCAUGUGUAAGAAAGUGCUCUGGAUGCCACAGGGUGGUAAUUUGUGCAUGGAAAAUGGCUGGGGUGAAGAGGAGACUAGGGUUUAUCUUGUCAGGUGGUCUCUGUGGUUCCAGUACCCAUGAGGGAGCUGAGUCUGAAGGACCUUGGAGCUUUGCAGAUAUAAAGAAAAAGCUGAUUUAAGCUUCCCCAGUUUUCCCUGCCCCCUUCAUGAAAGAAUUACAGCAUAUAAUAAGAAAAAUCUGGAGAAACACUUAUUUUUAUGGAACAACAUCCAGAGGUGUCCAGAAAGAAGGUGGCCUUGACCAGAAUUCCUCAGCCUUGGCUGCACAUGAGAACCAGUGAGGGAGCCCUAAAAACGCUGAUGCCCAGGCUCCACCCAGACCUAUAGGUGCAGAACCUCUAGGGGAGGGCCCAGCCAUCGCGCUUUGAAAAAUCUCCUCAGGUACUCGGGAGGCUGAGGCAUGAGAAUCGCUUGAACCCGGGAGAUGGAGGUUGCACUGAGCCGAGACUCCAGCCUGGGCGACAGAGUGAGACCUCGUCUCAUCUCACAUGAGUACUUCACAAUGGGGAAACUGAACUGGAACUCUACUGACAACGCAGUUGGGAGUUCAAACUUAAUAACCUUCCAGAGUUGGUAUCAAAUUCAGACGCUGACGCUCCUUGGAGAGGUUCUUUGCUGCAAGAGGAUGGAAAGGAUCACUGUGAUUUUGUUUUUCUCCUGCUGCUCUGUCUGGAAGCCAUGUGAGGAGGACAUCUGAGCAGCCCUGUGGAGAGGCCCCCAGCCAACAGCCAGCAUGAACUUGCUGGGCAUGUGAGUGCACCACCUUGAAAGUAGAGCCUCAACCCCUGGUCAAGCCAUCAGGUAAGAUUGCAGCCCUGGCUUAUAUCUGACCACAACCUCAUGAGCAACCCAGAGAGCUCAAGCUGGCCUGUUGGAAGAUGACAGGCCAUAUGCAACAGACGUGAAGUGUCCCAGCUGAUCCCCUUCCAGAACACCCACCUUCCAGAUGACCACAGAUGCAAGGGUGAGCCAGCCAAUAGCUGCUGAGACAUUCCCAGAAAGACAGAACAUCCAGCUGACCCAUGGACUCAUGGGCGAUCAUGGAUAAAUGGAUAUUGUUUCAAGCUACUAGGUUUGGGGUUGGUUUGUUACGCAGCAAUAGCUAACAGCUACACCUCUAUUUUAAGGAGUUGUGAAGAUAAAUUGCAAAGGUACAGAAAAAUGAAUAGCUAUAAC
This 2847-nucleotide long non-coding RNA is filed under the name Homo sapiens (human). RNAcentral's name for it is "long non-coding RNA NONHSAT192182.1". The record is from RNAcentral. Lineage: Eukaryota; Metazoa; Chordata; Mammalia; Primates; Hominidae.